Molecule: RNA transcript, 1007 nt
Organism: Scaptodrosophila lebanonensis
Lineage: Eukaryota; Metazoa; Arthropoda; Insecta; Diptera; Drosophilidae
Gene: Syb
Gene name: synaptobrevin
Exons: 5
Source: RefSeq, a predicted model, not a curated record
CACGCACACAAAAGAGUAUUUCUCAUCGUAAUUUUCACUCGAUCGUCGGCAUACUUUUCAUUUCCAAUCAAAUAUUUACACAUUUUAUAAUAUUGCAGUAUUAACGCACAAUCGAAACCAUACGCGAUAGAGAGCCUCUUCGAAAGACUAGAACGCAAAAACUUUCCAGGUUUCAAAGUCUACAAAGAUAAAGAUGGAGAACAACGAGGUACCUGCCCCAUCCGGAUCAAAUGAUUUUCCCAUACUCCCGCCACCGCCCAACUCCAACACGAACUCCAACAAUCCCUACUCCUACUCCAACUCCAGCAACAAUAACCAGCAGAACAAUGCCGCCCAGAAGCGUCUGCAACAAACGCAAGCCAAGGUGGACGAAGUGGUUGGUAUAAUGCGUGUCAAUGUCGAGAAGGUGCUGGAACGGGACCAGAAACUGUCAGAGCUGGGCGAACGGGCCGAUCAAUUGGAGCAGGGCGCCUCACAGUUCGAACAGCAGGCGGGCAAGCUGAAACGCAAGCAAUGGUGGGCCAACAUGAAAAUGAUGAUUAUUCUGGGAGUGAUUGCCGUCGUAUUGCUCAUUAUCAUAAUAUUGUCGUUUUUCUAUUGAAACAAUUCGAACGCUAAAUAUGCUUGCCGUACUCAAAACAGCCCUAAUGAGUCGCAAUGCUUAAAUCUACAUAUCAUAUCGUCUUGUAUGAUAUCUUAUAGUCUAAGAAACGCCAAUAUUCUAAAGUUUCCUUUUUGCCAGCGGGCAGCACCAGCAGCAGUGACGGUUCCCGCGCUAUUACCGAGGCGCCGAAAGGAAACUAAAGUAAACUAAAUGGACCACCUUCUUUCUAAAUAAUGUUGCCUUCCGUAUUUGGCCUAUGCGCAGAAAAUGUUUCUACAAUUACUUUACAUACAACAAAGCAUAACAAGAAAUGUAUAAUUAUAAAAAGCCCUCUAAUGUUAAUCAAACUUUUUCACGUAUUGUAUAAAAUUAAAUCACACAUUCUAAUUGUUAUGAAACGGCA